Molecule: ribosomal RNA, 160 nt
Filed under: Xizangia bartschioides
Lineage: Eukaryota; Viridiplantae; Streptophyta; Magnoliopsida; Lamiales; Orobanchaceae
Description: 5.8S ribosomal RNA
Rfam family: 5.8S ribosomal RNA
About the family: 5.8S ribosomal RNA (5.8S rRNA) is a component of the large subunit of the eukaryotic ribosome. It is transcribed by RNA polymerase I as part of the 45S precursor that also contains 18S and 28S rRNA. Functionally, it is thought that 5.8S rRNA may be involved in ribosome translocation.
Source: RNAcentral
CAAAACGACUCUCGGCAACGGAUAUCUCGGCUCUCGCAUCGAUGAAGAACGUAGCGAAAUGCGAUACUUGGUGUGAAUUGCAGAAUCCCGUGAACCAUCGAGUCUUUGAACGCAAGUUGCGCCCGAAGCCCCCGGCUGAGGGCACGUCUGCCUGGGCGUC